Non-coding RNA from Phascolarctos cinereus (koala), 429 nucleotides. The record is from RefSeq and is a predicted model, not a curated record. NCBI's taxonomy places the organism in Eukaryota, Metazoa, Chordata, Mammalia, Diprotodontia, Phascolarctidae.
GUUUGGCAUGAGAUACAUGAGAAAAACAGAACUCAUGGCUCAUCACUGGUGGGAUCUAGUGAUUUCAAGAUCUGUGCAGAAAAUCUGUCCCACAAAGAAUAAUACAGGAAACUCACUGGAUGUGCAAAACAGAAACUCUUCUCAGUGGUUCCAAGGAGGACUUUAUUUGGGUUUUCCUUUCAAAAAGACAAUCACAAGCCAUCAGAAAGGGGACCAAGAGUGUGUAUAAAACUCUCUUCCCUGGAGGUCCAUCACUAAUGCUGGGAGAGUAUUCACUUCUGAAAAACAGCCAGCAGCUCUCCAAUAUUCCACACAGGAGCACAGAUGCGCUAACACUCUCUACAGAGAUUUUGAGAGCUUCCUCUGUUCAGGUGACAUCAACAAGGUGGGACUUGGUCAAGUUCCCUUCUCAGGACAUCAAAUUUUGGC